Molecule: long non-coding RNA, 437 nt
Organism: Cydia amplana
Lineage: Eukaryota; Metazoa; Arthropoda; Insecta; Lepidoptera; Tortricidae
Exons: 3
Source: RefSeq, a predicted model, not a curated record
AAAAAAAAACAAUAAAUUUUUGGGGUUCCCCAUACUUCGAACUGAAACUCAAAUUUUUUUUUCAUCAAACCCAUACGUGUGGGGUAUCUAUGGAUAGGUCUUCAAAAAUGAUAUUGAGGUUUCUAAUAUCAUUUUUUUCUAAACUGAACAGUUUGCGCGAGAGACACUUCCAAAGUGGUAAAAUGUGUAAAACUAAAAAUAAUAUAUGAUGUACAUUACCAUGCAAACUUCCACCGAAAAUUGGUUUGAACGAGAUCUAGUAAGUAAGAAAAAAAAUUUUUUGGGGGUUCCCCAUACUUAGAACUGAAACUCAAUUUUUUUUCAUCAAACCCAUACGUGUGUGGUAUCUAUGGAUAGGUCUUCAAAAAUGAUAUUAAGGUUUCUAAUAUCAUUUUUUUCUAAACUUAAUAGUUUGCGUGAGAGACACUUCCAAAUUG